ACGAAGCUUACGUUUCUGAGGGUGAUAC
Molecule: small RNA, 28 nt
Filed under: Bombyx mori (domestic silkworm)
Lineage: Eukaryota; Metazoa; Arthropoda; Insecta; Lepidoptera; Bombycidae
Description: ovarian small RNA-11417
Source: RNAcentral